UCUCAUGUCGAAAGCAUGUCGAAAGUUCUUGCUGCUUUGUUCGAGUUUUACUUGUGUUUUUGGAAUAAAUUCGACGCUAAAUCAAAUAUUGCGUAUGCAAAUGUCCUGCACUACCUGACAGCUUAUUUCAACAACGUCGGGUUUUCAUCACCAACAACUGAUUGACUGAAAUGUUUCCCGUCUGUCUGAUCUUCCACUAUGAAAAUCACUUUGUUAAUGAGACAUUAGAAUAAGAUACAGGUUAACAAAUAGCCUUUUCUGUGUUGUACCGCUCACUACAGUCAGAAGUGAUCACAACCAAGUACGAAAACCAAACAGUUGUAGUACUACAAUACAACCUAUGCUAUAAGUCUAAACUCUAAAUUUCGUGCCUUCAGCAGUGUGAAAACAGUGAAAUUGUAUUCAUACUGUGCUGUUUUCCAGGAUCACUUGAAAGCAAUAUUGCAUUAAAAGAGAAGUAUGUUGAUGAGGCCAUACCGUUAACUUCCACAUAUUCUUCUUAAUCAUCAAGCAGCCUUAAUGGGAUAUGAGAGCAGGAGCACCUCUUGAAAUCAUACUUCCCAGAAGUUACCCUAGCCUGGUUAAGGAUCAAGAAAGGGACUGACGCCGAUUAUCACCUCCAGAUGGAUAGAUGUGGAAUCCUGGAAAUGUUGCUGACCGACAACCAGCUCCGGUCAAAAUUUGGUCUUGCGGAUGCAUUUGUGCCACCCAGCAUCAAUACCACCUAUCACCACGCUACUGCAAUACUUCAUGACACUUUCUUUAGCAUCAUGAAAUUUAUCUCAACAUGU
This 791-nucleotide long non-coding RNA is filed under the name Daphnia pulex (common water flea). Its description in RNAcentral is "uncharacterized LOC124196840, transcript variant X2". Lineage: Eukaryota; Metazoa; Arthropoda; Branchiopoda; Diplostraca; Daphniidae. The record is from RNAcentral.